This is a transfer RNA of Felis catus (domestic cat), 85 nucleotides long. It matches the Rfam family "tRNA". Rfam says of the family: Transfer RNA (tRNA) molecules are approximately 80 nucleotides in length. Their secondary structure includes four short double-helical elements and three loops (D, anti-codon, and T loops). Lineage: Eukaryota; Metazoa; Chordata; Mammalia; Carnivora; Felidae. The record is from Rfam.
GCCUGGGUGGCUCAGUCGGUUGAGCAUCUGACUGCAGCUCAGGUGAUGAUCUCGCAGUUCGUAGGUUCAAGCCCUGCAUCAGACU